This 1334-nucleotide long non-coding RNA is filed under the name Anser cygnoides (Swan goose). Its description in RNAcentral is "lncRNA (ENSACDG00005008568.1)". Lineage: Eukaryota; Metazoa; Chordata; Aves; Anseriformes; Anatidae. The record is from RNAcentral.
CCGAUCUCAGCAUUAUUAAUGAAACCAUGGAUGCUACUUUCACAUUUUUAUAGAAUUAUAGAAUCAUAGAAUGGUUUGGAUUGGAAGAGACCUUAAAGAUCAUUCAAUUCCAAUCCCCCUGUAAACAUUUUAUCCUUUUAAUUCUAAGUUUGUUUGUUUUUCUUUACAUUCUCUUUAAAAUAUUAAAAAAACCACACCACCUUUUUGUUUCAUUUUAAUGUAAUAAAAAAACCAGACGCGUCCUUUUAUUUUUUGAUCUUGAAGGGGAUCUUGAAGAUGAAUAUAAAAAGAAUUAAUUGCCCAUUCAUAUAUAUUUACAUUCAUUAUCUUAUUUCCUUUGAUUCCAGUAAACUUGGUCCUGACUGAACCUGAAGUUAUCCCAAUUCAGAUUCAAGGAAUGCUUAUUUUCUAUAUAAGAUCAUAUCUUACGUGCCAGGAAAUUAAAGAGAAAUGUCAAGCUAGAAUGACAUAGUCUUUGCAGAAGCUGAACAUCACUGAAAAUAUUUCUAAGUCAAUUCUUUAUAUUCAAGCUCUGUUCAUGCCAUUUUAUUCAUUCCUUUCAAAAUCACUCCACCCCAGUCCCCCAUACACUGGCUCAGUUCCCUAUGCAGUUCAUAUUGAUGAAAUGGCGUAUCUGUUCAGUUAUAGGGAAGGAGCCAUUGACACAGCUCUGCCAAGAUUACUGUAAGUGCUUUUCUAUUACUGCAUUAGAAGAUGUAAUAGCUUAACAUCUCAAGGAAGAUCUUGUCUUCAAACUAGCAAAAUCAGAGCUAAUGGAAAAGGAUGUUGAAAUUAUUGAAGAUAAAUAAGCAAAAAAAUAAUUGAGUGAACACAUAUAUCUAACAACAGCUACGUUGGUAACAUCCCUCUGUAAAAUUUUUUUUUCCACAGUAACAGGGACUGCUAAUCAGCCUCUCGGGCAACCUCGUAAUCUCAAGGAUUUUGUAGAUUUUUAAAAUAGUGUCUUAUUCUUCAUAACUUUCUUGUCUCUCACACUCUCUUCUCACACAUUUGCAUUGACAACUGUUUUUCUAUUUUUUGUAUACCUUAUAUGUUAAACAAGGUAUAUCAGGGAAGAUUUUUCAUAAUUUGAAGAUAGUGGAAGAUGCAGUGGGAAGUGAGGAAUCAUUUGGGUGACCGUGUGAUGGGUGAGGCUCUCAUGAUUUCUCUGUGAAAGCACCAGAAAUAGUGGUCCACCUGCACACAAAUGCACACACCAUACAAAACAGUCAGGAGAUAUAUUUAGUAGGACAGUGUUGCCAAUGUAAGAAGCUUUGCCUGAAGGUGGAAUGCAUAACUUAUUUAACAGUUUCGACUCUCCAUCUCAUUUUAUU